AUUGAACGCUGGCGGCAGGCCUAACACAUGCAAGUCGAGCGGAUGAAGGGAGCUUGGUCCUGGAUUCAGCGGCGGACGGGUGAGUAAUGCCUAGGAAUCUGCCUGGUAGUGGGGGAUAACGUCCGGAAACGGGCGCUAAUACCGCAUACGUCCUGAGGGAGAAAGUGGGGGAUCUUCGGACCUCACGCUAUCAGAUGAGCCUAGGUCGGAUUAGCUAGUUGGUGGGGUAAAGGCCUACCAAGGCGACGAUCCGUAACUGGUCUGAGAGGAUGAUCAGUCACACGGGAACUGAGACACGGUCCAGACUCCUACGGGAGGCAGCAGUGGGGAAUAUUGGACAAUGGGCGAAAGCCUGAUCCAGCCAUGCCGCGUGUGUGAAGAAGGUCUUCGGAUUGUAAAGCACUUUAAGUUGGGAGGAAGGGCAGUAAGUUAAUACCUUGCUGUUUUGACGUUACCAACAGAAUAAGCACCGGCUAACUUCGUG
Molecule: ribosomal RNA, 484 nt
Filed under: uncultured bacterium
Lineage: Bacteria
Description: partial 16S ribosomal RNA
Rfam family: Bacterial small subunit ribosomal RNA
Source: RNAcentral